Molecule: transfer RNA, 67 nt
Filed under: Alosa alosa (allis shad)
Lineage: Eukaryota; Metazoa; Chordata; Actinopteri; Clupeiformes; Clupeidae
Description: tRNA-OTHER
Source: RNAcentral
GCUUUUAGCUCAGUGGUUAGAGCGUUCGACUCCCAGUUGAGGUGUGCGGGUUCGAAGGCCGUGAGCG